AUUUUCUCUUUAAUUUCUCUUUUCAAACUCCUAACUCUAUCAUUACCACACUCCUAGACAUCUCUACAGGAUUGACAAUUUGACCCACUACCUCCAGAUGAUUCUACUCCUCAACAUCUUACCAACUUCACAAGUAACAAAUCAUUCUACUAAGCAACAAAUUUUGUUUAUUUUUCAUGGAAAGAUUUUUAGGAAAACAGAUAUUGUUAACCACAAAUAAACAUUUCCCUAGAGUCCCCAAG
This 242-nucleotide unclassified non-coding RNA is filed under the name Hevea brasiliensis (rubber tree). The record is from RNAcentral. Lineage: Eukaryota; Viridiplantae; Streptophyta; Magnoliopsida; Malpighiales; Euphorbiaceae.